CAGUCGCCGCGGGAAUACGUAGGUGGCAAGCGUUGUCCGGAAUUAUUGGGCGUAAAGGGCUCGCAGGCGGUUUCUUAAGUCUGAUGUGAAAGCCCCCGGCUCAACCGGGGAGAGUCAUUGGAAACUGGGAAACUUGAGUGCAGAAGAGGAGAGUGGAAUUCCACGUGUAGCGGUGAAAUGCGUAGAGAUGUGGAGGAACACCAGUGGCGAAGGCGACUCUCUGGUCUGUAACUGACGCUGAGGGGCGAAAGCGUGGGGAGCGAACAGGAUUAGAGACCCCAGUAGUCCCUGUCUCUUAUAC
This 301-nucleotide ribosomal RNA is filed under the name uncultured bacterium. RNAcentral's name for it is "partial 16S ribosomal RNA". It matches the Rfam family "Bacterial small subunit ribosomal RNA", at positions 509 to 807 of the family's 1533-position model. The record is from RNAcentral.